AACGAACGCUGGCGGCAGGCCUAACACAUGCAAGUCGAACGCCCUAGCAAUAGGGAGUGGCAGACGGGUGAGUAACGCGUGGGAACGUACCCUUCGGUUCGGAAUAACCCAGGGAAACUUGGACUAAUACCGGAUACGUGCGAGAGCAGAAAGAUUUAUCGCCGAAGGAUCGGCCCGCGUCCGAUUAGCUAGUUGGUGAGGUAAUGGCUCACCAAGGCGACGAUCGGUAGCUGGUCNGAGAGGAUGAUCAGCCACACUGGGACUGAGACACGGCCCAGACUCCUACGGGAGGCAGCA
RNAcentral lists this ribosomal RNA (297 nucleotides) under uncultured bacterium. RNAcentral describes it as "partial 16S ribosomal RNA". It matches the Rfam family "Bacterial small subunit ribosomal RNA", at positions 29 to 353 of the family's 1533-position model. The record is from RNAcentral.